GCAGGAAAAUAUUCCCAAAACAUAUCGGAACCAGUGGUGAUCCGGAACCGGUUCCAGGUGUUCCGCCGGAAGUGGCCAAAUAUAAAAAUGAACUAAAUCCAUGCAUGCGACAUAUCAAACCGCGUCUUUUUCGAUAUCCUUGUGAACAGUAAGCAGCAAAAUAUUCUCAGAACAUAUCUGAACCAGUAGUAAUCCAGAACCAGUUCCGGAUGUCCCGCCAGAAAUGGCCAAAUAAGAAGCUGAUCCAAACCCGUGCAUGGAACACAUCAAAUCGCGGCUUUUUGGAUAACCCGAUGAACGGUUAGCAAGUAAGGCUCAGGCAACAUCAGAAACUAUUGGUACUGUUCCAGAAUCGAUUCCGGGUGUCCCGCUGAAAGUAACCACAUAUUAAAGGGAACCAAACCCAUGCAUGCGACACAUCAAAUCCUGGCUUUUUAGGUUUCUUGAUUUAUCAAAAAAAAAGUUUCCGACAAUAUUUGGGACAACCGAUACUGUUCCGCAACCGAUUACGGGUGUUCCGCCGGAAGUGGUCAAAUGUAAAGGAGAACCAAACCCAUAAAUUCGGCACAAAAAAAUACUUUUAAUACCAUUAGUGUGCCGAAACCGGUUCCAGGUGGCCCGCCGGAAGUGGUCAAAUGUAGAACGAAACCAAACGCAUGCACGCAUCACAUCAAAUAACGGCUUCUUCUAUAAAGCGAAGAACGGUCAGCAAGAAAAUAGGUCACAUUCAAGACUACCAGUAGUGUUCCGGAAUGUGUUUUAAGUGUCUCGCCGGAAUUGACGAAAUGCAAAAAUGAACCACACUCAUGCAUACGGUACAACAAUUUGCGACUUUUUAGGAAAACUGAUCCACAAUUGGAGUCUCCGGUUAGCCUAGUGGUUAAGGUUAUGGAUAGCCAAUCCGGAGACAGCGGGUUCGAUUCCUGUUCCGGUCUGGAAAAUUUUCUCGACUUCAUGGGCAUAGUGUAUCAUUGAACUUUCCUAACAAUAUACAAAUUCAUGCAAUGGCAGGCAAAUAAAGCCCUUCAAUCAAUAACUUAAGAGGCAGGCUAAGCCCCAGUGGGGUCGUCGAGCCAUAAAGAAGAAGAAGAUUCAUAAUUGGCAUGGAACUAGUAUGAGACCACAUCAGGGCCAAUCGGUACAAUCCUGGAACUGGUUAUGGGUGUCCUGCCGGAAGUGGUAUAUUGAGAAAUUGAACCAAACCUAUACGUGUGGUAUCAUAAAACUACGCUAAUUCGACAAUGAUUGCUGUCAAAUUACCGGGGUAACUUUUAAUUCGACAAACUAACUCUAUUUUAGUUUUUGUUUAGAUUUUCGGAUUCGUUUUUGAACACAAAUCCUACAGAUGCUGUGGUAGUAUGAAUUGAAAACGUGUUUAUUUUAUGAUUGUUUGCUUCCGAAGUUCACUGUGGUUGAUCACCAAAUGGAUCAUGUUCCGAUCAACACCACUGGGCUCCACACGAUGUCCCUGCCAGAAAGUACGACGUUGGGGCGAUCGAACAAUACAGCGAUAAUGGGCUGAAUGGCAAGGAACACAUGCACACAUAAGAUUGGGAGCCAAAACAAAACCGAAAUACGACAUCGUUUACCCAACGUGGAAGUUUUCUACUUUAAUGCUAUUAAAAAUUGUCUAAAACUUAGUGUAAAAUCAAUCGAACGCUUGAUUAAGUGAAAAUUCUUAAAAUUAUUUGCUAAACAAGUGCGGAUUCGCCAAACAGGUAAGCUUGUCUAAGAGGGUGAAUAAAAAAGAGGAUUUACACGGAAAGUUCAUUGCAAGUUAAGGAACCUAUCUGUUGCAAUCAUAGCCCUACGAGAGUCAUUUGCAAGAGGCAA
This is a long non-coding RNA of Aedes albopictus (Asian tiger mosquito), 1833 nucleotides long. RefSeq lists it as uncharacterized. Lineage: Eukaryota; Metazoa; Arthropoda; Insecta; Diptera; Culicidae. The transcript has 3 exons. The record is from RefSeq and is a predicted model, not a curated record.